Protopterus annectens (West African lungfish) is the source of this 505-nucleotide long non-coding RNA. RefSeq lists it as uncharacterized. The transcript has 2 exons. Lineage: Eukaryota; Metazoa; Chordata; Ceratodontiformes; Protopteridae. The record is from RefSeq and is a predicted model, not a curated record.
GUGAACUUUUUUUUCUCUCCCUCCCUUCACUACAGCGGUGUACGGAAAUGUGAUUGACAGACUUGUAGUGCACCACUGGCAAACCAGUGGUGGCAUAGUGAUGGGUCGUGUCAGCAACAUAUCUGUGAAUUUGCAGUGAAGUGUUUCCUCCCAGCAGAAGUAAGAUUCACCAGACUGAAUACACUUUUUCACAUAUACAACUACUAAUAGAAGAUGUGCCCCAUUUGUUUUUCGUUUAGGCUCACUGACCUUUUAUGGACAUAAAACAGUUAAUCCUUAACAUCUACUAUCAAAUUAAGUAAAUCAAAAACAAAAGUACAUUGUUAUUGUAAUGGAUUUUGAAUAUGGCUUUGUAAAAUGUCAGACAAUGUUGCUUGUGCCAAUCCUGAGCAAUGCUUCUUUUAAUUUGCAUCAUAAUGUUGUGACAUAAGAUGCAGCAGAUAGUUUAGCUUCAUGGCUGUGCUUGAGUUUCACUGUUUAAAAAAUAAAAUGUGUACUUGGCUUA